RNAcentral lists this ribosomal RNA (425 nucleotides) under uncultured Lachnospiraceae bacterium. RNAcentral's name for it is "bacterial SSU rRNA". It matches the Rfam family "Bacterial small subunit ribosomal RNA", at positions 354 to 794 of the family's 1533-position model. Lineage: Bacteria; Bacillati; Bacillota; Clostridia; Lachnospirales; Lachnospiraceae. The record is from RNAcentral.
UGGGGGAAUAUUGCACAAUGGGGGGAAACCCUGGUGCAGCGACGCCGCGUGAAGGAAGAAGUAUCUCGGUAUGUAAACUUCUAUCAGCAGGGAAGAUAGUGACGGUACCUGACUAAGAAGCCCCGGCUAACUACGUGCCAGCAGCCGCGGUAAUACGUAGGGGGCAAGCGUUAUCCGGAUUUACUGGGUGUAAAGGGAGCGUAGACGGCGAUGCAAGUCUGAAGUGAAAAGCCCCGGGCUCAACCUGGGUACUGCUUUGGAAACUGUAUUGCUGGAGUGCUGGAGAGGUAAGCGGAAUUCCUAGUGUAGCGGUGAAAUGCGUAGAUAUUAGGAGGAACACCAGUGGCGAAGGCGGCUUACUGGACAGUAACUGACGUUGAGGCUCGAAAGCGUGGGGAGCAAACAGGAUUAGAUACCCUGGUAGU